This 1028-nucleotide long non-coding RNA is filed under the name Nicotiana benthamiana. RNAcentral describes it as "long non-coding RNA (NBEN_LNC021864)". The record is from RNAcentral. Lineage: Eukaryota; Viridiplantae; Streptophyta; Magnoliopsida; Solanales; Solanaceae.
UUCAAUAAACUGACAACUUAUCAUUUUUCACAGCCAACUUAAACAUGAAAUCUGCAUUAGGGACACCAAUUGAUUUCAACAAAACCAAUUUGUUAACUAUCACGAACACCUUGACAAAUUUGGCAUCUCAUCAAACCAUGAUUCAUUACUUGAAUCCUGAUCCUGCGAAAUCCCAAACGACUCAAUUGAGUCUACAAAUAGUGAGGCAAAACCCGUAUUGCAAGACUCAUAUCCAUAUUAUACCAAACCUACAGCAAUACCUAAGCUAGUGUAUAUUCAAUAACUAACAUAUCUUGAAUCAGCUAUGUUUAGCAAAGUUUGAACAUAGAUCUUAAAGCAAAAAUAAAUAAUCACAUGGAUAUAUAAAACCUAAACUAGAAGAAACACCAAUCCUAAACUAUUAUGUAAUCCACCAUCACUUGAUCACAUAUUUAGGGGUAGGGGAUAAGAAGCAUAACUCCCUAAAUAAAAAUAGAAACAACUCAAUAAACUACACACAGCCACAAUUACUACUCAAAACUCUAUAACGCCAUUUUGAUUCCAUGCCAAAGCUUUACAUUGAAUGGAAAAUAAAGGCGUGUACCUGAUUACAGCAUUAAACAAAGAAAAUUAUGAGCUUAGGAGACAACAACAGUAAUAAACCAAAACAGUAGAACUCAACAGCAACAAGAACAGUCCCAGAUUCAAUCAAAUACCUAAUGAAAUCAACUCAAACACCAAUGAAACAAUGACCUUGACUCAGAACUCGACCAUAUACUUUAAAAGAAUAACAAGUUCAAGUCAUUUCACACACCCACUAAACCAAAUAUUACCUUAACAAGUUGGAUUUCAAAAUCAGAAAUGGAGCUCAAUGGAACAACGAUUUUCUUCACUUUUAGCCGUUCUCUUUUAUGAGUUUCUUCGCUUUUUUCUUCUUUUUUUUUCCCCUUGAGCCUAAAGUAACAAUGCCUUUAUAGGCAAGUUGCUAAGGCAGCCUUAAGGGUUUAGUUUUGCAAUUGAGCACUUUUGAUAUUUUGGUUUUUGCUUAG